Long non-coding RNA from Oreochromis aureus, 1323 nucleotides. RefSeq lists it as uncharacterized. The transcript has 2 exons. The record is from RefSeq and is a predicted model, not a curated record. Lineage: Eukaryota; Metazoa; Chordata; Actinopteri; Cichliformes; Cichlidae.
GGAAGCAGGAAAUCGCUGCACGUCAGCAGGUGAAAAGAAAAGAGAGGGAGGAAGUUAAGUUGGACAUGUGUGUGUGUGUCACAGAGAUCACACAGCUGAGGCAUGUGGAGGUGUACAGCACAUAGGUGUUUUGACUGACAGCUUCUAGCUGUAAUCACGUGUAUGAUUGUUUCCACAUGUGAAACGGAUGUAAAAAUGAUUGGAUGAAAAAUCCCCCCGUGGCCGGCAGUCUGAAUAAAGGCUGUGAAGUCGUGUCAACAUGGUUUCAGUUAUCCUGCAGGAAAGGAAGCACGUUUUCUUUCUGGCUGCUUCUCUGUGGUCUGACCAGAAACUAACUCAUCCUUAUUCUAGAAAGUGAACCACAACAUGUGGCAACAGAGCCCACAAACAUGAGCUCAUUCCUCUUGAGGGAAACUAGCAACUGAAAAAAACAGAGAUAGAAAGAGAGAAAGUCCCAGUGUUCCUCUCCACAUCCAUUUGUCUUUGGACUACAUUCCUGCUCCUCUUCCUCAAAUGAAAUGGUUAUCCCUGCAAACAAUGAGAAGACUGAGCUGCAGGAGCAUCUGCAGCAUGUGAAGUGGGACAUGAAACAAAAAUUGGCUCACAAGGUUGAGGUCAACUUCAGCAUCAGCACAUUCUUUGAGCCAAGGCGUUGGAGAGAAAGCAGGCGCGAACUGAAAGUGGCCCAAGUCUCUUCCUAACAUGCUUUUAUUUCCCACAUACUUCGUGAUCAGCAGGCCUCAGUAUGUUAUCAGGUAAUACUGAGACAAACAGCUGCUUACGUGCUGAAAUGUGGAUGUAUUAUUUGAGAAAAGCAUUACACAUGAAUCAGAAGAACAAUACAUUUUGACCAAUAGGCUAACAAUUAAAGUAAACUCAUCAGUAUUAAAAAUACAGCUGGAAAGGUGAAAUGUUCUUACUUUAAGAGCAAGUGCAGGCAGAUAUGUUGCAAAAUGUAUUUACUAUCAUAAUUAAAUACAAAAAGAAAGAAUGUGCAGAAAAAAUCUGAACUCUAAACUCACACCUAUGAUAUUAAUUUAAAAAUCAUAGUUGACCUUUUCGAGUUAUUGUAACAAAAAAAGGAAAAAAAGUCUUUUCUGUGGCUAAGUCCUCAAUUUUCCUUUAUUCCUUGUAAUGUUGUCAGUCUCCAUAUGAGUCACGUUGACCACGUGCUGUGUGCUUCAUGCUUUGCUCUGGAAUGUCAGGUUUCAAAUUGCAUGUACCCGAUAUUGCCUUGCCAUGCCAUGCCAGAGAUAUAAGAUUGUGUGUAACUGUAAAAUCAAAUGACUAUUAUUUAUUUGCAAUAAAAUAACAUAAAACACA